GCGCCCGUAGCUCAGCCGGAUAGAGCAACGGCCUUCUAAGCCGUGGGUCGCAGGUUCGAGUCCUGCCGGGCGCG
RNAcentral lists this transfer RNA (74 nucleotides) under Magnetovirga frankeli. RNAcentral describes it as "gamma proteobacterium SS-5 tRNA". It matches the Rfam family "tRNA". From Rfam's summary of the family: Transfer RNA (tRNA) molecules are approximately 80 nucleotides in length. Their secondary structure includes four short double-helical elements and three loops (D, anti-codon, and T loops). RNAcentral also lists the same sequence under 1 other name. The record is from Rfam by way of RNAcentral. Lineage: Bacteria; Pseudomonadati; Pseudomonadota; Gammaproteobacteria; Chromatiales; Sedimenticolaceae.